This 964-nucleotide ribosomal RNA is filed under the name Cassidulinoides sp. RNAcentral describes it as "partial small subunit ribosomal RNA". It matches the Rfam family "Eukaryotic small subunit ribosomal RNA", at positions 1160 to 1677 of the family's 1831-position model. Lineage: Eukaryota; Foraminifera; Rotaliida; Cassidulinidae. The record is from RNAcentral.
AAGGGCACCACAAGAACGCGUGGAGCAUGUGGCUUAAUUUGACUCAACGCGGGAAAUCUUACCGGGUCCGGACACACUGAGGAUUGACAGGCAAUAUUAUAAUUUUUUAAUUGAAAUAAAUUUUUAUUAAUUUAUUUUUUUUAUUUUUUAUAUGUUAAAUAUGCUAGUCCUUUCAUGAUUAUGUGAUAGGUGGUGCAUGGCCGUUCUUAGUUCGUGGAGUGAUCUGUCUGCUUAAUUGCGUUUCACUAUUGGGCUUAUAUAAUUACGUAUGUUGUUAACGCUUUGACCCCUUUCUACGGAUUGUGCGUGUCUUUGUCUCGUUUAACUCAUACAAUUAAGCCCUGAAAGCAACGAACGUGACCGCAACCUCUUGUUGCUCUCAUAUUACCUUAUACUGCAUAAUAUUUGAAUAAUUUAUUUUAUUUUUUUUUUAUGUUUAAGAGAGCUUUCUAAACUAGAGGGACCGCUGUUACUUUCUUAAACCAGAGGAAGGUUGCGGCAAUAACAGGUCUGUGAUGCCCUUAGAUGUUCCGGGCUGCACACGUGCUACAAUGAUUAUUGCAGUGAGCAUCUCAUUUUUUACACAUCGCAUGCGCGAGUCCAUUUAUUCAGAUAUCUUUCAUUUACUUUCGGGUGAAUGUAGUGUUUGCUUUAAAUGUGUAUCUCUGCGCGCGAUAAAGCCUGCUUCGAAAGUAAGUGGGUAAUCAAUUAGAAGUAAUGAUUUCCUUUUUUUUUCUGCACACAUAUAUAUGGCACUUAUACCCGGGUAACCUUGUUGUUACUUUUGUGCGUAUACGUGAUAAUCUUUACCGAUUAUACUACCAUAUGUGCAAUUGUCAAUUCAUGGUGGGGACAGACCAUUGUUAAUUGUUGGUCUCGGUCUUAACUAGGAAUGCCUUGUACGGAUCUUUGGUUCAACAAACCAUCCGGAAUACGUCCCUGCCCUUUGUACACACCGCCCGUC